RNAcentral lists this ribosomal RNA (497 nucleotides) under uncultured bacterium. RNAcentral's name for it is "partial 16S ribosomal RNA". It matches the Rfam family "Bacterial small subunit ribosomal RNA", at positions 28 to 507 of the family's 1533-position model. The record is from RNAcentral.
GACGAACGCUGGCGGCGUGCCUAAUACAUGCAAGUUGAGCGCUGAAGGUUGGUACUUGUACCAACUGGAUGAGCAGCGAACGGGUGAGUAACGCGUGGGGAAUCUGCCUUUGAGCGGGGGACAACAUUUGGAAACGAAUGCUAGCACCGCAUAAAAACUUUAAACACAAGUUUUAAGUUUGAAAGAUGCAAUUGCAUCACUCAAAGAUGAUCCCGCGUUGUAUUAGCUAGUUGGUGAGGUAAAGGCUCACCAAGGCGAUGAUACAUAGCCGACCUGAGAGGGUGAUCGGCCACAUUGGGACUGAGACACGGCCCAAACUCCUACGGGAGGCAGCAGUAGGGAAUCUUCGGCAAUGGACGAAAGUCUGACCGAGCAACGCCGCGUGAGUGAAGAAGGUUUUCGGAUCGUAAAACUCUGUUGGUAGAGAAGAACGUUGGUGAGAGUGGAAAGCUCAUCAAGUGACGGUAACUACCCAGAAAGGGACGGCUAACUACGUG